This is a long non-coding RNA of Amphibalanus amphitrite, 524 nucleotides long. RefSeq lists it as uncharacterized. NCBI's taxonomy places the organism in Eukaryota, Metazoa, Arthropoda, Thecostraca, Balanomorpha, Balanidae. The record is from RefSeq and is a predicted model, not a curated record. The transcript is spliced from 2 exons.
UCACAGGCAGUGCAAUAAAUCUACGCCGUAGCAGUGGUCUACAGUUGCUAUAUAAAGGGUACGAUUCGGAGUCAAAUAUCAUCAGUCAGGCAGGGAAAGCGCUGAGCUAUACGCACUGAUCUGUCGGGUCAGUUGUCGGGGAAUAUAAGCCAUGCUGCGUGCUCUGGUGGUGCUGGUGGCGCUGGUGCUGGCGGUGGUGACCGUCGGCUGGGGAGACCCGAGCCCUGGACGCCGCCGAACCACCACCACCACCACGGCGGCCACGACCACCACCACACAGGACACGGCCGCCCAGUUCCGCGCUGCUGUCGACGCGUGGAGCGCCAGACAGCUGCGCCGACGUGGCUGAGCUGCACCGGCCUCACAUGCCACGCAGGCAAUCCUUGAUUGGAUUUGUACGUCUUAUGCUUAUGAUAAAUGAAAGAAGGGUUCUUAGGUAUUGUUCGUCCUGCCUAUGCAUUACCAAAAGCAUAUGUACUGAAUUCGUAAAAGAAUAAACGGAAUCUCAGGAACAGGCCAUUAGG